This 254-nucleotide ribosomal RNA is filed under the name uncultured bacterium. RNAcentral's name for it is "partial 16S ribosomal RNA". It matches the Rfam family "Bacterial small subunit ribosomal RNA", at positions 524 to 776 of the family's 1533-position model. The record is from RNAcentral.
UACGUAGGGGGCAAGCGUUGUCCGGAUUUAUUGGGCGUAAAGAGCUCGUAGGCGGCUCAGUAAGUCGGGUGUGAAACCUCCAGGCUCAACCUGGAGACGCCACUCGAUACUGCUGUGGCUUGAGUCCGGUAGGGGAGCACGGAAUUCCUGGUGUAGCGGUGAAAUGCGCAGAUAUCAGGAGGAACACCAGUGGCGAAGGCGGUGCUCUGGGCCGGAACUGACGCUGAGACGCGAAAGCGUGGGGAGCAAACAGG